Molecule: transfer RNA, 79 nt
Filed under: Microvirga sp. KLBC 81
Lineage: Bacteria; Pseudomonadati; Pseudomonadota; Alphaproteobacteria; Hyphomicrobiales; Methylobacteriaceae
Description: tRNA-Leu
Source: RNAcentral
GCGGGCGGAGCUGAUAGACGCACUGGAUUUAGGUACCAGCGACGCAAGUCGUGGGGUUCGAUUCCCUCUGCCCGCACCA